GCUGCUCUGAUCUCACCGGCCGUUCAGAUCGCCUAUCAAUGGGAGCGUGCCGUGCUCCUCCGGUUUGGCAAACUCCGAGGGAUGAAACAGCCAGGACUGUUUCUGAUCCUUCCCGUUGUUGACAAAGUGGCGCAAUUCGUUGACCAGAGAAUCCGAGUUUCCGACUUCAGUGCAGAAACCACGUUGACUGCUGAUACGGUUCCAGUCAACGUCGAUGCGAUUGCUUUCUGGAUGGU
RNAcentral lists this ribosomal RNA (236 nucleotides) under uncultured eukaryote. RNAcentral describes it as "partial small subunit ribosomal RNA". The record is from RNAcentral.